GUUCUCUUCACGACAGCACUCACACGCAGACACGUUCUAAAAAUAGUGCACCUCACACCGAGACAGCCCCCCCACUGCCCGCAGCGCCGCAUACCUCCACACACAGUGCAACGUCAGCAUUUGUCAGAGCUUGUAAAGAUGAUGUCUCUGAAGACCGCUCAUGUGCCCAUAAUCCUCGUGGGUUGCGUUGGUCUCUCCAGUUUUGCGAUGGAUGCCCUUGGCGCGCGCCUUCAGACGAAGAUGAGUAUGCGCCAGCGCCGCUCUUGGCUGACGGCGAAUCAAUACCACAUGGUCCACACAGUGGCUCUGGCGGCUAUUGCUUGGAUGAUGACGCUGGCAAAGGAGUCUCCCGAGGCGUCCUCGCGACUCAGCAAGGGCUUCUACCUGGUACUAGCCGGGGCCCUUGGAUUUGCCGGCUCCAUCUACUCGCUGUGCCUCCGCAUCUGCCCCAAGUUUAUGGGCCCGCUCACCCCCACCAGUGGGCUUGUGCUGGUGCUGGGGUGGACAAACGUGGCACUGGCGGGCCUGUACUGGUGACGAGAGAAGGCAAAGCAAGGAGAGCACCAAAGGACGAGAGCAACGAUAGCAUAUACGGAGAGAGGUGCUGUGAAGACGUCGCUUUCGAGCGUCUUGAGGGAAGGGUUAUUAUUCGUGUUGUUCUGUUCUUCGUUUGCGAGGAGUCGGCUACGUUGAGCAUCGUAACUGCUGUUGCUGCGCCGCUCUUCACCAUAUCCCCUGCAUCUGAUCACGCUCGCUGAGGUACAGCGCUUGGAGGAGGAGACUCGGGUAGAAGUGGGUCUGGGGAAGGGCCUGAGGUGGUGUCCGUGGCUCGUAGUCUGGCUCACUGGUUGAACUUUUCUUUUCCGGUGCACGCAUGCGUUUGUCUUUCCAUAGCUGUUCCCGCUGCGCGUUGUACUCCUCCGCAAGUGCAUCGGUGCCUCUGUUGUUGCGGUUGGAGGGGUGGUUCCUGUCGGACAUAUUUUCAAGGCUUGCGCAUAUAUAUAUAUAUAUAUGUGCGUCUGUGUCCUCCUCUUUACGCAGCCGUCCAUCAGAGCCUGAGAGGGAGAAAGGCGAAGCGCCUGCCGUCAAGUGUUUUGCAUGGUUGUAUGGGCCUAUGUCGGAGAAAAAGCUUCACCCUUGCCAUCGCUCGUGAGCUCGCGUUCGGGUCGCUCUUGGUCAAGGGCGUGGUUAAGUUGAUGGUGUCAAUGGUGUGCCGGUCAUUAUGUGCAAUGGCCUCCGCGUUGCACCUCCCCUCUUUUUCGUUUACGCUUGGCCCUUCCUUCGCUGCUUGGAUGUCUUUUGCCGGACUCUCUCGCACACACCCGGGCCCUCUCUGCCUCUGCCUCUUCACAAG
Molecule: unclassified non-coding RNA, 1354 nt
Filed under: Leishmania donovani
Lineage: Eukaryota; Euglenozoa; Kinetoplastea; Trypanosomatida; Trypanosomatidae
Description: gene:LdHU3.28.2080(CDS-product:Protein_of_unknown _function_(DUF423)_putative)
Source: RNAcentral